Molecule: ribosomal RNA, 305 nt
Filed under: uncultured bacterium
Lineage: Bacteria
Description: bacterial SSU rRNA
Rfam family: Bacterial small subunit ribosomal RNA
Source: RNAcentral
UAAGCCCUACGGGAGGCAGCAGUGGGGAAUAUUGCACAAUGGGGGAAACCCUGAUGCAGCGACGCCGCGUGAGUGAAGAAGUAUUUCGGUAUGUAAAUCUCUAUCAGCAGGGAAGAAAAAAGACGGUACCUGACUAAGAAGCCCCGGCUAACUACGUGCCAGCAGCCGCGGUAAUACGGAGGAUGCGAGCGUUAUCCGGAUUUAUUGGGUUUAAAGGGUGCGUAGGCGGGCAUUUAAGCCGGCGGUCAAAUGUCGGGGCUCAACCCCGGCCUGCCGUCGGAACUGGGUGCCUUGAGUGGGCGAGA